UUGACCUCAAAUCAGGUAGGAAUACCCGCUGAACUUAAGCAUAUCAAUAAGCGGAGGAAAAGAAACCAACAGGGAUUGCCUUAGUAGCGGCGAGUGAAGCGGCAAAAGCUCAAAUUUGAAAUCUGGCACCUUCGGUGUCCGAGUUGUAAUUUGAAGAUUGUAACCUUGGGGUUGGCUCUUGUCUAUGUUUCUUGGAACAGGACGUCACAGAGGGUGAGAAUCCCGUGCGAUGAGAUGCCCAAUCCUAUGUAAGGUGCUUUCGAAGAGUCGAGUUGUUUGGGAAUGCAGCUCUAAGUGGGUGGUAAAUUCCAUCUAAAGCUAAAUAUUGGCGAGAGACCGAUAGCGAACAAGUACAGUGAUGGAAAGAUGAAAAGAACUUUGAAAAGAGAGUGAAAAAGUACGUGAAAUUGUUGAAAGGGAAGGGUUUGAGAUCAGACUCGAUAUUUUGUGAGCCUUGCCUUCGUGGCGGGGUGACCCGCAGCUUAUCGGGCCAGCAUCGGUUUGGGCGGUAGGAUAAUGGCGUAGGAAUGUGACUUUGCUUCGGUGAAGUGUUAUAGCCUGCGUUGAUGCUGCCUGCCUAGACCGAGGACUGCGAUU
RNAcentral lists this ribosomal RNA (597 nucleotides) under Meyerozyma caribbica. RNAcentral's name for it is "LSU rRNA". It matches the Rfam family "Eukaryotic large subunit ribosomal RNA", at positions 1 to 602 of the family's 3401-position model. The record is from RNAcentral. Lineage: Eukaryota; Fungi; Ascomycota; Pichiomycetes; Serinales; Debaryomycetaceae.